AUGCAAAACGUUUAUUAGAGAGUGGCUUUGGCUUUACACUUGGGAAGGAAGAGAAGCAAGAUUGGGCAGAGGGAGCAGUUGGGCUCUAAUGCAAUCACAAAGGCUCAGCUGACCCUAUAAGGAGUUCUGAAGCUGGGAUGUCCCUUCAGAACUGUUCCAGGUUGGGGCAAGGGGGCCAGACCUUCAUAUGCCCUCAUUGAUCAGUCAUUGGGUACAGCUGCCCCUGGGAAUGGGGUGUGACAUAAGCAGUGAGGAGGCAGAACUCUGCAGGUGAGGGAAAUUUCUGGAGACAGCUUGAAGUGGAGCAGCUGGAUGAAUAAGUCCUUUACCACUCAAAGGGGAGCUAGGGAAGUAGCAGGGUAUGUAUUGCUCUGUGCGAAGCAUAUUCUGUGCCCCUAAGAAGCUUAUUAUCUAGAUAGGUGGAAUUAAACAAGUGUGCAAGUGACAGUGUUAUAAGGUGGCAUCAGGCAGGUGGCACUUCCAAAGCUGUAGGGGUUUGCAGAUGGCAGGGAUGGUGGGAGUGGGGUGUCACAUUUGCUUGGAGGAGAUAUUUGCACUGGGUCUUGGAGAAUCCUAGCUUGAGGAUUUUUGUCAUUUUCUAGUCAUUAGCCUGAUUGAAAUCCUUGGUGCAUGAAGAGGACUUCUUUCACACAGACCACUAAACCAGGAUUACAGACUAGACAUUAAGUAAAUCCCCAGGGCUGAUAAAUAACAUCUGGCCAAGUGCUAUAGCUCAGAGUUAGUUUUCUUGUUUUCUCUUCAUCUCAAGAAGUUCCAGGAAAUGUCGCUGAAGAGUUCAACGCUAUCGUUAUCUCAGGCCUCAAUUCCUGUGGCUCUUGGAUGCACCAGGGUAUCAAGAGGAUAAGCUGCAGCUGCUUGAGGCUGAAACAGUUACUCUGCGCAGGGCAAGAAGCACCAGCUGAGUUCUUUGCAGUGAGUUAUAUCUUUUCAUUCCAUUGCAUAUUCCUGAAGACUAGGCUUUUCUGGAAUGAGGGGAAUUGCCUUGUAUGGCCAAGAAAGCUGUGGAGACAUUUAGGAAGCAGAGAUGAUCUGGAGGGGAAUUCCACAUAUAAGCAGGUGCCCACGUGGUGUCAGGUCCAGAUACCUGCCUGACACUCCUCUCUUGCUGCUUUCCUUGCCAGACUAACAGGAACCCCUCUCACUGGGCUUAGGAGGCUCCUGUUAGACUCAUAUCCAUGACCAGAGUCAGGGCUGCAGCAUCUGACCCCAUGGUCACACAUACAGCCUCUUAGUUCUUCAGAUCAGCCAGCUGUUCCAUAGCAAAACUCAGCCCUGUAGGAUGGAGCAGACAUGGAUGAUGGGAAUGGAGAGUGUGUGUGUGAGAGAGGGAGAGACAGAGACAGAGAGAGAGAGACUCUGUGUGUGUGUGUGUGUGUGUGUGUGUGUGUGUGUGUGUGUGUAUGCAUGCAUGCACAUGCACGUAUGCAUGUAUUAGUGGCCUAGAGAGGACAGAAUGCCCAGUCAGGAGAGGGGUGGUCCUCUGGCAUCCUGAGCUGGGCCUGGAUGGGCAGGAGAACAGGAGGGGGUGGCCUGUGAGAAAGGAAACCUGGACUGAAGUCAGAUUUCACCAAUGUUAUGAUGCCACUAAGCUUGAGAUUCUUUCAAAGGUGAACCAAAUCCUAGUUCUGCCCUGUGAUGGGACUGAGAUGCAGUAAUGGGUCCCCUCCUUUCCAUAAUGAUCUGGCAUUUGCCACUGCCUUAGCUCCUUGUCUUCAAGGAGGUUUAAGAAAUGCUAUAAAAAAGCACUGGCUGUCAGAAAAGAAAACUUUACAACAUAGUGUGAUCCUGACACUUUGCAAAUGAAGAGAAACAUUUGCCAUUAGAGUCAGGCGUUCAACACACUGGAGGAUCUGCUGUCAGCCUUGGAGUUCUCAGGUGGUCUGCAUCGUAACCAGACUGUCAUGCCGCAAUAUACCCAAACCCACCCCAGUGAGUGCCCCUUGAGUGUCCACAGCCCCUUGUCAGCACCAGAUCAUGAUGGCUGGGAAGGCAGGCAGGGACUUUGGGAUAUGCAUUUACCUAGGAGGCAGUGGCCACAGUAGGCUAGGGCUGCAGGUUCCCCACAGGUCAUCUCCAGGCCCCUGGGCACCUUUCAAGUAUUCAACACUGUAAACAUUGCUGCACUCAGAUCCUUGGCCAUGGCUGCCACCACUACACUUCAGUGAUGCGCCCUGGGGUGGGGAAGGGUACCCUACACCUCAUGAAAUUCUAAGGGAAGGACAUAGAACUGCUACUUCUGACAUGUCCUUAUUUUAUAGCCUCAACUGUCUAACAUGCACAUAUUCAUCCCAAUUAAUUCUUAGGAAGGGAUUCUUGCUUUGAAAAUUCCCCCGCAGCAUUCUUUCUGAGAAACGCUGUCAUGUCCUCUCCUAUCUUCAAUUAUCUUGCAAAAAACCACCUCUGUGUAGUGUCCCAACCUGACCCAAACACACAUAGAGAUGCACAAACACACACACACACACACCCUCCAUGAAGCCUCUCCUGCUGCAGCCUAGGUCCCCUCUGUGCAAUCUGUACAUGGCAGCAGUGCUCAGGCACCAUAGGUAGGUGGGCAAACACAAAGUGGCAGAUGGUUGCUUACGGUGCUACCAGUGUUGCCAUUGUUUCUCCAACCUCACAAACAAGACUUCCAGCUUCUUGAGCAAGUAUAGGAAGCUGCAAAGCCAGAGAGCUGCUGUUACAGCUGUAUAGCUGCUGGGUCCACCUCUGGCAUGAUCUACUACAGCACAGUCUCCCACAAGUAUAUCUGGUUGGCGGGACCUAAAAUCACAUCCUGAACCUGGCUGCAAGGGAGUCUGGGAAUUGUAGUUUUACUCUUUCCAACCUGGAUAUCUCCCUGUGUAACCCUAGGCAGACAAAUACCCAGUCAAUCCCCAGUACCUACAUUCCUGAAGAGAGAAGGCAAGUCCUGUUCUCAUUUGACACUGUAAGUGGGAAGUUCUCUAACUUAAAAAGUCACACUGAAGGGUGGAGCUAGGAUAUGGCAGAAUACAACUCAGACACUGAAGGGCUUUAUGUGAAUCACCCAUCCCUUCAGCUUCCAGUGACCUCAGUUCUUUUUUUUUUUUUUUUUUCUUUGAGACGGAGUUUCACUCUAUCGCCCAGGCUGGAGUGCAGUGAUGUAAUCUCGCCUCACUGCAGCCUCCGCCUCCCAGGUUCAAGCGAUUAUUCUGCCUCAGCCUCAUGAGGAGCUGGGACUACAGGCACGCACCACCAUGCUCGGCUAAUUUUUGUAUUUUUAGUAGAGAUGGGGUUUCACCAUAUUGGCCAGGCUGGUCUUGAACUCCUGACCUCGUGAUCCACCCACCUCGGCCUCCCAAAGUGCUGGGAUUACAGGCAUGAGCCACUGCACCUGGCCAACCUCAGUUCUUAGGAAGGCAGGAACUUGGUUUCCAAGAAACUUUCUUUGCUUUUCACUUGCUUCAUGGGCUAAACUAUUGACAGACUUACCAGGUCUCUGGUCAUGAUGGUAUAGGCUAUGUCAGGUAACAGCCCCAUGACUAUCCAUGGUUUAACAGUAAAAUGAUGGAGUUUAUGUCUUAUUCAUGGCAUCUGUCCAGUGUAGGUCGGGAAGGGGUUUUAGCAUGACCCAGGACUUAGGCUCCAUUUUCACACUCACUCCCACACACAUUCCUGGAGAGGCAGGAAAAGUAGAAUGUGGCAAAUUGUACAUUUGUCUCUGCGAGGAAGAGACAUGUUGCUUACACACCUACUUCAUGAGCCAAAGCAAGUCACACAGCUCGCUUACUUCAAAGGGAGAAAACCAAAGUCCUCCCAUUAACCCGGGGACAGGAGAACCGACCUGUGGUAAACAGCACUAAUGAGGAGUCUGUGCCCGUGACGUGCCCCUAGUGUACUCAUCACUCGGCCGGGAUAACUGACAUUCUUCCAUCACCAUUUUUCUUUCCCUCCAGGCACUUAACAUUUCAACUUUAAAGAUACUGAUACAAUUUUCACUUGAAAAUGGCCUAUGAAAAAACAGCACAGUCCCCAGAGGCAAAAUUCUAAUCAUGCUUUUCCACAAAUACUUCAGUGGUUCUCAGUCUGUCAUGAUUUAGUGGGCUGAGAAUGCUCUGUGUUGUGUUUUAUGUAAAAAUUCUGCCUGUCUUCCUUAGAUCAGGAAGGAAGAAAACAGGCCCAAGAGGUUGGCCCCAGACGGUUUCUCAGUUCCAGUGCCCAUCCUGCUACAGGCUUUCUCUGACCACCUCCUCCCCAGUUUGAAGCCAUUUCUGACUUUCUUGAGCAUCCCCCUUUCAUGUUCCCUCACCGUAUUAUCAGUGUUUGCAUAAGUGCCUCAUCCCCUCUACUAGGCUGUGAGCUCUUUGAUCCAUAUAGAAUUGUCUCUACACUCAGGUAGACUUUAUAUUGAGUGUUUUUGAAUGACUCAAGGAAUGAAUCUCUAUAUUCUCCCUCAGGAUGUUUUCUGUAAGAGGUGCUCAGCAUCUUUUGAAUAUAAAAAAGAUCGAUGGAUGAAUGGAUGGAGAAAUUAAAUAAAGGAUUGAGGAUGUAUAGACUCCAGACAGCAUCACAUAGGAAGAAUAAACAAGCCUAUUCUCUUCAGGUCAUUCAGCAGAUUCUGAUGAGUUAACUCAUAAAUACAGGUUUUGGAACCAAAUGGAAGUGGGGAUGACUCAGGGCAACCACUCAUCACUCUGCAAACCAAGGCCCAUGCCCUGCUAUGGUUCAGUGGUGUCAUCUGGAAAUAUUCAUGUAAAUGAGCACCCCAGUUUUCUAAGAGCUGUUUUUUUCUUCCUCUCUUCUUUUUUCCAUUUCCUGGAUUCCCAACUUCCUAGGUAGCCCUUUAGAAAUGCAAAUAUAGGCCUGGCGCAGUGGCUCUCGCCUAUGCCUGUAAUCCCAGCACUUUGGGAGGCUGAGGUGGACAGAUCACUUGAGGUCAGAAAUUCAAGACCAGCCUGGCCAACAUGGUGAAACCCUGUUUUCACUAAAAGUAAAAAAAAAAAAAAAAAAUUAGCCAGGCGUGGUGGUGGAGUACCUGUAGUCCCAGCUACUUGGGAGGCUGAGGCACAAGAAUGGCUUGAACCUGGGAGGCAGAGGUGGCAGUGAGCUGGGAUCAUGCCACUACACUCCAGCCUGUGCGACAGAGUGAGACUGUCUCAAAAAAAGGGAAAUGCAAAUAUAAGCUUUCAUCUCCCCUUCACUAGACAUUCCCUACAGGGCAAGUUCAUCUCUCUGCUCCAAAAUAGUCCUCCAGAAUUGACUGCCAAUUUGCAGACCAAAACAUGCCCUCCUUGAGCUUUCACCUCCAGGGGUUGCCUUGGAACUCCCACCCUCCAGGGGCUGCCUCAGGACUUUCAUUCACUAGGAGGUUAUAUCUAAAGUAUGCCUACUUGGCCACUUUUAAAAUUUAUUUUUGCCCAGGAAGGCCCGACUCAACUGUCCAGUAGAUAAGGCACCAUGCUAUCAGGCGGACCCUUGCUCACUUGCUCCCUUACCUUAUAAAAGUGCCUGCUUUCUGCUCCAAAGGGGAAGCGGCACAUUGAAAGGCAGGACGUUGUGUGCCCCUCCUCCAAGCUAGCUUUGGAAUACAUUCACUUUAUUGGUAUCAGACUUUACUCUUGUCCGUGGGACUUUGCAUACAUUGAGCAACUAA
RNAcentral lists this long non-coding RNA (5632 nucleotides) under Homo sapiens (human). Its description in RNAcentral is "HSALNT0029580". The record is from RNAcentral. Lineage: Eukaryota; Metazoa; Chordata; Mammalia; Primates; Hominidae.